GGGGAAUAUUGGAUAAUGGGCGUAAGCCUGAUCCAGCCAUACCGCGUGGGUGAAGAAGGCCUUCGGGUUGUAAAGCCCUUUUGUUGGGAAAGAAAAGCAGCCGGUUAAUACCCGGUUGUUCUGACGGUACCCAAAGAAUAAGCACCGGCUAACUUCGUGCCAGCAGCCGCGGUAAUACGAAGGGUGCAAGCGUUACUCGGAAUUACUGGGCGUAAAGCGUGCGUAGGUGGUUGUUUAAGUCUGUCGUGAAAGCCCUGGGCUCAACCUGGGAAUUGCGAUGGAAACUGGGCGACUAGAGUGUGGCAGAGGGUAGUGGAAUUCCUGGUGUAGCAGUGAAAUGCGUAGAGAUCAGGAGGAACAUCCGUGGCGAAGGCGACUGCCUGGGCCAACACUGACACUGAGGCACGAAAGCGUGGGGAGCAAAC
Molecule: ribosomal RNA, 425 nt
Filed under: uncultured bacterium
Lineage: Bacteria
Description: bacterial SSU rRNA
Rfam family: Bacterial small subunit ribosomal RNA
Source: RNAcentral